UUUACACAUGCAAGUCGAACGGUAACAGGUCUUCGGAUGCUGACGAGUGGCGAACGGGUGAGUAAUACAUCGGAACGUGCCUAGUAGUGGGGGAUAACUACUCGAAAGAGUAGCUAAUACCGCAUGAGAUCUACGGAUGAAAGCAGGGGAUCGCAAGACCUUGUGCUACUAGAGCGGCUGAUGGCAGAUUAGGUAGUUGGUGGGGUAAAGGCUCACCAAGCCAACGAUCUGUAGCUGGUCUGAGAGGACGACCAGCCACACUGGAACUGAGACACGGUCCAGACUCCUACGGGAGGCAGCAGUGGGGAAUUUUGGACAAUGGGCGAAAGCCUGAUCCAGCAAUGCCGCGUGCAGGAUGAAGGCCCUCGGGUUGUAAACUGCUUUUGUACGGAACGAAAAGCUCUGGGCUAAUAUCCCGGAGUCAUGACGGUACCGUAAGAAUAAGCACCGGCUAACUACGUGCCAGCAGCCGCGGUAAUACGUAGGGUGCAAGCGUUAAUCGGAAUUACUGGGCGUAAAGCGUGCGCAGGCGGUUAUGUAAGACAGAGGUGAAAUCCCCGGGCUCAACCUGGGAACUGCCUUUGUGACUGCAUGGCUAGAGUACGGUAGAGGGGGAUGGAAUUCCGCGUGUAGCAGUGAAAUGCGUAGAUAUGCGGAGGAACACCGAUGGCGAAGGCAAUCCCCUGGACCUGUACUGACGCUCAUGCACGAAAGCGUGGGGAGCAAACAGGAUUAGAUACCCUGGUAGUCCACGCCCUAAACGAUGUCA
RNAcentral lists this ribosomal RNA (769 nucleotides) under Comamonas sp. Its description in RNAcentral is "bacterial SSU rRNA". It matches the Rfam family "Bacterial small subunit ribosomal RNA", at positions 48 to 814 of the family's 1533-position model. Lineage: Bacteria; Pseudomonadati; Pseudomonadota; Betaproteobacteria; Burkholderiales; Comamonadaceae. The record is from RNAcentral.